This 466-nucleotide ribosomal RNA is filed under the name uncultured bacterium. RNAcentral describes it as "partial 16S ribosomal RNA". It matches the Rfam family "Bacterial small subunit ribosomal RNA", at positions 28 to 507 of the family's 1533-position model. The record is from RNAcentral.
GACGAACGCUGGCGGCGUGCUUAACACAUGCAAGUCGAACGGUAAGGCUCCACCUUGCUGGGGUGCACGAGUGGCGAACGGGUGAGUAACACGUGGGUAACCUGCCCUGCACUUCGGGAUAAGCCUGGGAAACUGGGGCUAAUACCGGAUAGGACCAUGGGGUGCAUACUGUGGGGGAGAGAUUUUUCGGUGUGGGGUGGGCACGCGGCUUAUCAGCUUGUUGGUGGGGUAUUGGCUUACCAAGGCGGCGACGGGUAGCCGGCCUGAGAGGGUGGACGGCCACAUUGGGACUGAGACACGGCCCAGACUCCUACGGGAGGCAGCAGUGGGGAAUAUUGCACAAUGGGCGGAAGCCUGAUGCAGCAACGCCGCGUGGGGGAUGACGGCCUUCGGGUUGUAAACCGCUUUCGCCAGUGACGAAGGGUUAGUGACGGUAGUUGGUGAAGAAGCACCGGCUAACUACGUG